This 253-nucleotide ribosomal RNA is filed under the name uncultured bacterium. RNAcentral describes it as "partial 16S ribosomal RNA". It matches the Rfam family "Bacterial small subunit ribosomal RNA", at positions 524 to 776 of the family's 1533-position model. The record is from RNAcentral.
UACGGAGGGUGCAAGCGUUAUCCGGAUUCACUGGGUUUAAAGGGAGCGUAGGUGGGUUGGUAAGUCAGUGGUGAAAUCCCUAAGCUUAACUUGGGAACUGCCAUUGAUACUAUUAAUCUUGAAUACCGUGGAGGUCAGCGGAAUAUGUCAUGUAGCGGUGAAAUGCUUAGAUAUGACAUAGAACACCAAUUGCGAAGGCAGCUGGCUACACGAAUAUUGACACUGAGGCUCGAAAGCGUGGGGAUCAAACAGG